ACUACCAGCAGCACUGCAGGUAUGGCUGCUGUUCACACAUGAGUCAAUAGGUGGCAGAGAGGAGAGAGGCUAUUUUUAUGCUCAAUGUUCUGACCUGUGAACACUUGAAUGAUUAGUUGCCUAACAUU
Arvicanthis niloticus (Nile rat) is the source of this 128-nucleotide small nucleolar RNA. RefSeq annotates it as small nucleolar RNA SNORA17. Lineage: Eukaryota; Metazoa; Chordata; Mammalia; Rodentia; Muridae. The record is from RefSeq and is a predicted model, not a curated record.